This 324-nucleotide long non-coding RNA is filed under the name Theobroma cacao (cacao). Its description in RNAcentral is "long non-coding RNA (TCAC_LNC006024)". Lineage: Eukaryota; Viridiplantae; Streptophyta; Magnoliopsida; Malvales; Malvaceae. The record is from RNAcentral.
UUCGUUUUAAAUGAAGAUUUUAGACUUUUAAACUCAUUUUGAAUAUGAAUUGUGUGUUUUGUACUUGUACAUUACGUUUUAGCCAGUUUUAAGAUUUUUGAGAAAAAUGACCAAAAUACCCUUGUGAGACGAAAAAUUAAUAUUUUAUUUGUUUAAAGUUGGAAACAGCUUAAAAUAUUUUAGAACACGAUAUUUGACAAUGGUUGCUCACAAGGGAACAAAGAAACUGAUAGUAAAGCCUUGCGGGGUUUCGGGUUGACAUUCCGGGCAAUAAGUGUCUACCGGGACACCGCGGCGGUUGUCACGGGCUCGAGGGGAGUACCG